GACACUGGUCUAACUGUAACAUCCUACUUAAGUAUGUUAACAAUCUGAUACUAAAAAUGGCAACAAAAGGAAUUUACGAGUCUAAUAAUCUCAUAAUAGAAUAACCAACAAAUGUUUUGCUAACAACAUUGUUUAAGAUCUAAUUUAAUGAUUGCAAACUCCAAGGUGUCCCAUCCUGUUCUCGCGUCCCGUUACGUCUACUUCCACCCUACCACAUUACAAAUCAAAAAAAUGAUGAGUCACUAUAUCAUGACUCAGCAUGGUUUCCCCCUACAUAUCAGUCAGAUGGUAUAGUAAAGCAAUUAAAAUCACAAUUAUCAAGUAGAUCAUAAUACUCAUUCACUAUAUUAUAACACACACUUCACAUAUAAUUUUGACAUUUGAUAACACUCACACUGCAGUUGUCAUUUGGUUCAUACCAACACUCCCAUCACUCACUAACACUUCACUUAUAUAUCCAUUACAAGAUUUCACAUAUAAAUUCACAAACCAAUUAAAUCAUGACGAUAAAUGUAAACACAUCUGGUAAAUAAGAUAGGCGCGCAAAUCUGUAAAUAACAGUGAAUAUAUCCAACUCAAGAGUAAAAAUCCAUAAUGGAAAUAAAAUUCUAAACUCUAUAACUCAAUCUGAAAAUUCUAAAUGUCAGGUAAAACUCUGAAAGAAAGAGUAUGAAUUCUGAAAAUCAUAGUACAUAACAGAGAUAAACAAAAAAAAACGAAUCAAAUGACAUGUGUCUCAAGAACCAUGGGAUCAUAAAACUCUAACAAUCAUGUAAAUGAAGUCUGAAAAUUCUAAAUGUCAGAUAAAACUCGUAAAGAAAGAGUUUGAAUUCUGAAAUCAAAUUGCAUGACAUGUGUUUAAAUAAAUAUCAAAUCCAUUGUCUAAUUUCACCCUAAUAAAAUAAAUCUCAACUCCACCGAUACUACAUCCGUGUCAGCAUAACUCUGUUUAAAAUACUGCACUAUAAAACAGAAUAUAGCUCAAAAAAAACACUCACGGAAGUUCAGAUCACCCCCCCAAUUCAGCCCUGUAAAUAAUUAAAACAGAGCAUAGCACAGCUAUUAAACAACUCACGGGAGUUCACGUCACCCCCAAUUCAACCCUGUAAAUCAUACACCAUAAAACAGAACAUAGCACAGCUAUGCAACAACUCACGGAAUUUCAGAUCAACCCCAGUUCAGCCCUGUAGAUCAUCGCUCAAUACCCAUGGUAUUUAUCCAAGAUAUCAACCCAAUACAAACUAAUCUGCAUAUGGUAAGGCAUCUGAUACAAUCUAUAACACAUUUUAUUAAAAACACUUGCACUAUCUAUUAAACAAACACAUCAGUGUCACGUACUCGGACUCCCUUGUCUCCCAAAUCCACCAAAUAAAUCAAUAGAACCCAAACAGUACAUAGUAAUCACACAAUCUGUAAAUUAAUUAUCUCAUAGAUAUACCCAAUCUGCAACUAUUAUGCAACAUUUCAGCAAACCCAAUCAAAGCUACUAUGCAUUUCUAAUCAAAUGUUACCCAUAGCACACACUACCGAUGCAUUUAGAUGACUAUUCACCACUCAAUCCCAUACUUCGUUUUGUUUUCGAGACUUUUCUACACACAAUCCACACCAAGCUUUCCAACCACCUCGGCACCUCCUCGCUCGUUUCCCGGAUGGUCCCUCGCCGGAGUUUCAUCGUCUUGCCGGAAUAGCUACCCUUCUCCUUCCACUCACAUUUUUCUCCCCCUUCUCUCUUUCCAUCCUUUGUCUAUA
This 1749-nucleotide long non-coding RNA is filed under the name Zostera marina. Its description in RNAcentral is "long non-coding RNA (ZMAR_LNC005112)". The record is from RNAcentral. Lineage: Eukaryota; Viridiplantae; Streptophyta; Magnoliopsida; Alismatales; Zosteraceae.